This is a long non-coding RNA of Mastomys coucha (southern multimammate mouse), 963 nucleotides long. RefSeq lists it as uncharacterized. Lineage: Eukaryota; Metazoa; Chordata; Mammalia; Rodentia; Muridae. The record is from RefSeq and is a predicted model, not a curated record. The transcript has 2 exons.
UAACAGCCAGAGGGGAGCAGUUGGCAGUUAUUUUGCAGGAGGCUUUUCUCAGGGAUGAAGGCAAACUGGCCUCUAGCUGAUCAGCUGGCUGGUGAGGACUCUUCAGGAAGUCAGGGACCAUUGUGAAGAUGGAAAAAUGCCCACAACCUCCAGGUUGAGACCUGCUGGCCCUGAGCGUCCUGCUGGCUCAGCGGUGGUAACCAAGAAGUAGCUCAGGCCCAUGUCAGUGGGCCUCACACGCUGGGGCAGGUGCCUGCCAGAUGAUCUCCACUGUGCUUUUCCUUUGUGUUUCUUCUGUCGUAACCAGAAAGUUACCCUUCUGUUUGUGAAGAGCUUCUACCUAACGGCCUGGACCAGCAGAUAUGUCAGCGCUCGUGGUCAGCUGUCAAGCUAUAACAAAAGAGUGUGGAGGCAGUCCCUGAAACCACAGUGGCAUUUUGUAGGGACUAAGAAUCCAAUCUCAAGGGAUCACUCACCCCAAGACGACUGUGUUCUGAGUUGAUGUCUUCCCAGCCAGCUGGGGCCCCAGGUAUCCAAAAGAAGAGCUGUUGUCAGGAUGACUGGAACCUUGGUUCUUGCAAUUCACUCUCUUCCCUCUCUCCAGCCCUCUGCCUUAGAUAUAAAGAAUAAAAGAAACCGCAUCAGAGGUGGAGUCCUUCAGAAGGACUGACAGUGGGCUAGCUCUCCUGAGGCUGGAAGCCUGAAGUGGGGGGUGAGUGCCUUUGGCUCCUUGUCCAGAGUUGAGCUUUAUCACAGAGGUUUUCCCACUUACCAUCAACAUUGAAACUUGCCUCUUCGCCUGGCUGUAUUGUCCUAUUUUGUGCACAGUUUGAUUCCUCCAAACUGCUCUCACUGUGAAGAAGGCCUGUGCAAUGCAGGGAGCCUGGCCAGCCAGCCAGGCCUUUAUAAAGGCCCCCGUACCACAGGAUGGAGAAAAACCCAAUAAAGACUUUGUAAAAUGCU